UGGAUAGCUCAGCUGGUUAGAGUGUGGUGCUCAUAAUGACAAGGUUGCAGGUUUGAGCCACUGUAUAUUUGAAAG
Non-coding RNA from Podarcis lilfordi (Lilford's wall lizard), 75 nucleotides. NCBI's taxonomy places the organism in Eukaryota, Metazoa, Chordata, Lepidosauria, Squamata, Lacertidae. The record is from the annotation of a GenBank genome assembly.